GGGGAAUUGUUCGCAAUAGGCGCAAGCCUGACGACGCAACGCCGCGUGGAGGAUGAAGAUUUUCGGAUCGUAAACUCCUGUCGAAUGGGACGAAUAGAUUGCGGGUUAACAGCCCGUAGUCCUGACGGUAGCGUUAAAGGAAACCCCGGCUAACUCCGUGCCAGCAGCCGCGGUAAUACGUAGGGUGCAAGCGUUGUCCGGAAUUAUUGGGCGUAAAGAGCUCGUAGGCGGUGUGUCGCGUCUGCUGUGAAAACUCAGGGCUCAACUCUGAGCUUGCAGUGGGUACGGGCACACUUGAGUGCGGUAGGGGAGACUGGAAUUCCUGGUGUAGCGGUGAAAUGCGCAGAUAUCAGGAGGAACACCGGUGGCGAAGGCGGGUCUCUGGGCCGUAACUGACGCUGAGGAGCGAAAGCAUGGGGAGCGAA
RNAcentral lists this ribosomal RNA (425 nucleotides) under uncultured bacterium. RNAcentral describes it as "bacterial SSU rRNA". It matches the Rfam family "Bacterial small subunit ribosomal RNA", at positions 356 to 772 of the family's 1533-position model. The record is from RNAcentral.